AAAGCAUCGGCGUGUCAACCGGCCCGCCCGUCCCCUCCUUCUGGAUUCCCGUUCCUGCUAUUGAGUUAGUGGGGACGUCACAGGGGGUCCAUCGUCGCCAUGCAAAUGGCGGCGGUGGGUCUCUGGGGCCCAGAUCGUUUACCGUGAAAAAAUUAGAGUGUUCAAAGCAGGCAGAUCCAAUUUUCUGCCACCGAAUACAUUCAUGGGAUAAUGGAAUAGGACCCUGUCCUCCUAUUUUCAGUUGGUUUUGGCAGCGCGAGGACUAGGGUAAUGAUUAAUAGGGAUAGUUGGGGGCAUUAAUAUUUAAUCGUCAGAGGUGAAAUUCUUGGAUUUAUGAAAGAUUAACUUUGCGAAAGCAUCUGCCAAGGAUGUUUUCAUUAAUCAAGAACGAAAGUUAGGGGAUCGAAGACGAUCAGAUACCGUCGUAGUCUUAACCAUA
RNAcentral lists this ribosomal RNA (439 nucleotides) under Acanthamoeba genotype T4. Its description in RNAcentral is "SSU rRNA". It matches the Rfam family "Eukaryotic small subunit ribosomal RNA", at positions 659 to 1034 of the family's 1831-position model. Lineage: Eukaryota; Discosea; Longamoebia; Acanthamoebidae. The record is from RNAcentral.